UAUCGAUGGGGAUGCGUUCCAUUAGUUUGUUGGCGGGGUAACGGCCCACCAAGACUACGAUGGAUAGGGGUUCUGAGAGGAAGGUCCCCCACAUUGGAACUGAGACACGGUCCAAACUCCUACGGGAGGCAGCAGUGAGGAAUAUUGGUCAAUGGGCGAGAGCCUGAACCAGCCAAGUAGCGUGAAGGAUGAAGGCUCUAUGGGUCGUAAACUUCUUUUAUAUGGGAAUAAAGUUUUCCACGUGUGGAAUUUUGUAUGUACCAUAUGAAUAAGGAUCGGCUAACUCCGUGCCAGCAGCCGCGGUAAUACGGAGGAUCCGAGCGUUAUCCGGAUUUAUUGGGUUUAAAGGGAGCGUAGGUGGAUUGUUAAGUCAGUUGUGAAAGUUUGCGGCUCAACCGUAAAAUUGCAGUUGAAACUGGCAGUCUUGAGUACAGUAGAGGUGGGCGGAAUUCGUGGUGUAGCGGUGAAAUGCUUAGAUAUCACGAAGAACUCCGAUUGCGAAGGCAGCUCACUAGACUGUUACUGACACUGAUGCUCGAAAGUGUGGGUAUCAAACAGGAUUAGAUACCCUGGUAGUCCACACAGUAAACGAUGAAUACUCGCUGUUUGCGAUAUACAGUAAGCGGCCAAGCGAAAGCAUUAAGUAUUCCACCUGGGGAGUACGCCGGCAACGGUGAAACUCAAAGGAAUUGACGGGGGCCCGCACAAGCGGAGGAACAUGUGGUUUAAUUCGAUGAUACGCGAGGAACCUUACCCGGGCUUAAAUUGCAACAGAAUAUAUUGGAAACAGUAUAGCCGUAAGGCUGUUGUGAAGGUGCUGCAUGGUUGUCGUCAGCUCGUGCCGUGAGGUGUCGGCUUAAGUGCCAUAACGAGCGCAACCCUUAUCUUUAGUUACUAACAGGUGAUGCUGAGGACUCUAGAGAGACUGCCGUCGUAAGAUGUGAGGAAGGUGGGGAUGACGUCAAAUCAGCACGGCCCUUACGUCCGGGGCUACACACGUGUUACAAUGGGGGGUACA
Molecule: ribosomal RNA, 1018 nt
Filed under: Bacteroides ovatus
Lineage: Bacteria; Pseudomonadati; Bacteroidota; Bacteroidia; Bacteroidales; Bacteroidaceae
Description: bacterial SSU rRNA
Rfam family: Bacterial small subunit ribosomal RNA
Source: RNAcentral